Molecule: ribosomal RNA, 461 nt
Filed under: uncultured bacterium
Lineage: Bacteria
Description: bacterial SSU rRNA
Rfam family: Bacterial small subunit ribosomal RNA
Source: RNAcentral
GACGAACGCUGGCGGCGUGCUUAACACAUGCAAGUUGAACGGGCAUACAUGGAAGCUUGCUGAAGUGUAUGUUAGUAGCGGACGGGUGAGUAAUGCAUGAGGACCUGCCUUUGGGAGGGGGACAACAGUUGGAAACGGCUGCUAAUACCCCGUAUGCCGAGAGGUGAAAGGUAUGGAGACAUACCGCCUGGAGAGGGACUCAUGUCCUAUCAGCUGGUUGGUGAGGUAACGGCUCACCAAGGCGACGACGGGUAGCCGGCCUGAGAGGGCGACCGGCCACACUGGAACUGAGAGACGGUCCAGACUCCUACGGGAGGCAGCAGUGGGGAAUAUUGGGCAAUGGGGGCAACCCUGACCCAGCGACGCCGCGUGAGGGAAGAAGGCCUUCGGGUCGUAAACCGCUUUUGUACGUGAAGAAGCAGAUGACGGUAGCGUACGAAUAAGUCCCGGCUAACUACGUG